This 499-nucleotide ribosomal RNA is filed under the name uncultured bacterium. Its description in RNAcentral is "partial 16S ribosomal RNA". It matches the Rfam family "Bacterial small subunit ribosomal RNA", at positions 28 to 507 of the family's 1533-position model. The record is from RNAcentral.
GACGAACGCUGGCGGCGUGCCUAAUACAUGCAAGUCGAGCGGACUUUCAAGAAGCUUGCUUUUUGGAAGUUAGCGGCGGACGGGUGAGUAACACGUGGGCAACCUGCCUGCAAGACGGGGAUAACUCCGGGAAACCGGGGCUAAUACCGGAUAAUAUCUUCCUUCGCAUGAAGGAAGGUUGAAAGGCGGCGCAAGCUGCCGCUUGCAGAUGGGCCCGCGGCGCAUUAGCUAGUUGGUGAGGUAACGGCUCACCAAGGCGACGAUGCGUAGCCGACCUGAGAGGGUGAUCGGCCACACUGGGACUGAGACACGGCCCAGACUCCUACGGGAGGCAGCAGUAGGGAAUCUUCCGCAAUGGACGAAAGUCUGACGGAGCAACGCCGCGUGAGCGAAGAAGGUCUUCGGAUCGUAAAGCUCUGUUGUCAGGGAAGAACAAGUACCGUUCGAACAGGGCGGUACCUUGACGGUACCUGACCAGAAAGCCACGGCUAACUACGUG